CACACCACUGCACUCCAGCCUGGGCGACAGUGAGACCUGGUCUCAAAAAAAAAAAUUCAUUUCCAACAGGGAUAGGCACGCAGUCCGGGCUUGGGCAGAGCACUCACUACCCUCAAGGCAGCUCAACCACCGCCAGGCAGUUCAGACUGUUAGAAAGUGUUUCAAAAAGGAUGGCCCUGCUAUGGACUACCUCACACUGCCAGCAGCACACACUGAGCUCACGUCUCCUCUACAUGUUCCUGGACUUUUGCUCCAACUUAAGUAUAGAAUGCACCCCAACUUAAGUAUAGUUUAACACUUGAUUUUCUUGGUUUCAGGCCAUCCUUCUGGGUCGUUUUGAGUGCUGUUUGGAUCUCAAUGUGAUCAUCUGGGGAAUGUGCUCUCUUUUCAUUGGCGUCAUCUGAAAUAGAAUAAGCACGUGCUUCUUGUCUUCAUCUAAGAGGUGGGAGAAAAUGAGAAACAGGACAGGACCGAGGGCAGAGUCUCAGGACCAGAGACUGCCCACCAGGUGCAGCUCAUCAAACUACUUCCUUCCUCACAACGGACUUUGCGUAUGCUUAGCUUCCAGCAGUUCAUCAACAGAGGCAAGCGCCAGAACCCAGAGCUGCCUGAAGCAGACAGGAUGCACUUGGAUGUUCGAGUAAAAAGCUGGAAGGUCAUCCUCUUCAAGGGAGCAAGGAUGGACACACAGUAGCUGCGUCUGGUGACACCGCCCCACCUUCCUGGCCCUUUCCUGCUUCUCAUCUUGAUUGUGGAUUGCCAGAUGAAUGAGAAACCUCAGCCCCAGGGCUUCAGCAGUCCCCACAGUGAAUCUACACGUGCCUUGGCUGCCUGAGGAUUCGAUGUCGUCAGCAGUGGUCAGGAAGGGAAGUAUAUACACUGUAGAUACCAUUUCAUCAGAAUGAGUCUCCCUGACUGUUUGGAGACUGAGCUCUGUCACCCAUCUGGGCUCUGGGCCUGCUCUGUGAUCUGCCUCAGGAAAGUCACAUCUCACUGUUCCUGGGGGACCACAAAGACAGCUUUUGUUCCUCCCCUUUUUAGCCCUGCCUGACACUCUCCCCAGCACUUCCAUCCCUAGCUUCUGAUUUUCCUCCUGAAGGAAGGGCAGCUCCCCUCUGUCCCCCAUAGACUGGCUCCUUUCAAAGGCUGGCCCUCCACUCGCUCGGCCCCAGGGACACCUGCGAGAUCGUGUCCACCUACUUACGCUGCCACCUUGCAGUCACUGGGGCUUCUCUGAGCUUUGACCAGGACUCCAUAACUACUCCUGACUCCACCCUGGCUGUUUCUCUCUCAGUGGCCUUGUGGAGGUCCCCUCUCCAGGUUUUCCACAGAUCAGGGCCAUGGUCUCACACACACGUGCCCCCACGCCCUCUCUCCCAC
This 1380-nucleotide long non-coding RNA is filed under the name Homo sapiens (human). Its description in RNAcentral is "HSALNT0368050". Lineage: Eukaryota; Metazoa; Chordata; Mammalia; Primates; Hominidae. The record is from RNAcentral.